Non-coding RNA from Arvicanthis niloticus (Nile rat), 2071 nucleotides. The record is from RefSeq and is a predicted model, not a curated record. Lineage: Eukaryota; Metazoa; Chordata; Mammalia; Rodentia; Muridae.
GACUUGAGAGUGGGCUAAGCUAGCUUGCGUCAUCAGAGCGCGCGGCCGCUGUCGCGGAGAGAUGACGUGACCCAAGCUUGGUGCUGUCAGUCAGAGCUCCGCCUGGUCCGGGCCGAGGGUCCGGUGGGACCGGCGGGGCCAUGGCGGCCGUGUUUGAUUUAGACUUGGAGACCGAGGAAGGAAGCGAGGGCGAACCGGAGUUCAGCCCUGCGGACGUGUGUCCCCUUGGCGAGUUAAGGGCUGCUGGCCUGGAGACAGUGGGACACUAUGAGGAAGUGGAGCUGACAGAGAGCAGCGUGAAUCUGGGUCCUGAGCGCAUCGGGCCCCACUGCUUUGAGCUACUGAGUGUACUGGGCAAGGGAGGCUAUGGCAAGGUGUUCCAGGUGAGAAAAGUGCAAGGCACCAACUUGGGCAAAAUAUAUGCCAUGAAAGUCUUGAGGAAGGCCAAGAUUGUAUGCAGUGCCAAGGACACAGCACAUACCCGGGCUGAGCGGAACAUUCUAGAAUCUGUGAAGCAUCCCUUCAUUGUAGAACUGGCCUAUGCUUUCCAGACAGGUGGCAAACUCUACCUCAUCCUGGAGUGCCUCAGUGACUGAUCCUGAGGGCAAUGUCUGGGUCUUCUCAACUCUGCCCCAGCUUCACGCAGCACAGGGCCAGGCACCAAGUGAAUAGGCGACGGUAGAUGUUUGCUGAUUGAAUUGAGUCCCCACGGCAGCUCUGGGAGGCAGGUGGUGAGCUCUUCACACAUCUUGAGCGAGAAGGCAUCUUCCUGGAAGACACAGCCUGCUUCUACCUGGCAGAGAUCACACUAGCCCUGGGCCAUCUCCAUUCCCAAGGCAUCAUCUAUCGAGAUCUCAAGCCUGAGAACAUCAUGCUCAACAGCCAGGGUCACAUCAAACUGACAGACUUUGGACUUUGCAAAGAGUCCAUUCAUGAGGGUGCUAUCACUCACACCUUCUGUGGCACCAUUGAGUACAUGGCCCCAGAGAUUCUAGUGCGUAUUGGUCACAACCGGGCAGUGGACUGGUGGAGCCUGGGAGCCCUGAUGUAUGACAUGCUCACUGGAUCGGCAAGUCCAGCUUCCCUGGGAGCAGGGUGGGUGUUGGGGUGACCCCUUCCAGAUUGGGGCAAGACUGGGCGGGAGGACCCCUAGGCUGCCCUCACCUUCUGCCUUCUCCAGCCGCCCUUCACCGCAGAGAACCGGAAGAAAACUAUGGAUAAAAUCAUUAAAGGGAAGCUGGUGCUGCCCCCCUACCUCACCCCAGAUGCCCGGGACCUUGCCAAAAAGUUUCUGAAGCGGAAUCCCAUUCAACGGAUCGGGGGUGGCCCAGGAGAUGCUGCUGAUGUCCAGAGGCACCCCUUUUUCAGGCACAUCAAUUGGGAUGACCUCUUGGCCCGCCGUGUGGACCCUCCCUUCAGGCCAAGUCUGCAAUCAGAAGAGGAUGUGAGCCAGUUUGAUGCACGAUUCACACGGCAGACACCAGUAGAUAGUCCAGAUGACACAGCCCUCAGUGAGAGUGCCAACCAAGCCUUCCUGGGCUUCACAUAUGUGGCACCUUCUGUCCUGGACAGCAUCAAAGAGGGCUUCUCCUUCCAGCCCAAGCUGCGCUCCCCCAGACGCCUUAACAGCAGUCCCCGCACCCCCAUCAGCCCCCUCAAGUUCUCUCCCUUUGAGGGUUUCAAGCCCAGUCCUGGCCCACCAGAGCCCAUGGAGCCAUCUCUACCUCCACUCGUGCCACCACCACCAUCAUCACCACCACCCACAAGCACUGCCCCCCUUCCCAUCCGUCCCCCCUCAGGAACCAAGAAGUCUAAGAAGGGACGGGGCCGCCCAGGGCGCUAAGAGAAUAGAGGGAGAGAGCGGGCAGCUGUGAGGGCCCAGCUGGCUCUGACCUGUGGAUGUUCAGGAGAUGAGAAUGUGUUUGUGUGUGGAAGGGUGAGCCUUACAAUCAUGUACACAGAGGGCUGCAGGCUGUAGCCACUAGCGGUGGUUCCCAACCCCCAUCCCAUCAGAAGGGACUUGGCCUGUCUUUGGACCUGUGCCCUUGUAGAAGUAAAGGACUGAAUCAUG